This 253-nucleotide ribosomal RNA is filed under the name uncultured bacterium. RNAcentral describes it as "partial 16S ribosomal RNA". It matches the Rfam family "Bacterial small subunit ribosomal RNA", at positions 524 to 776 of the family's 1533-position model. The record is from RNAcentral.
UACGUAGGGGGCAAGCGUUGUCCGGAAUCAUUGGGCGUAAAGAGCGUGUAGGCGGCCUGAUAAGUCGGCUGUGAAAGUCAAGGGCUCAACCCUUGAAUGCCGGCCGAUACUGUCAGGCUAGAGUCCGGAAGAGGCGAGUGGAAUUCCUGGUGUAGCGGUGAAAUGCGCAGAUAUCAGGAGGAACACCAAUGGCGAAGGCAGCUCGCUGGGACGGUACUGACGCUGAGGCACGAAAGCGUGGGGAGCAAACAGG